This is a long non-coding RNA of Sinocyclocheilus grahami, 434 nucleotides long. RefSeq lists it as uncharacterized. The record is from RefSeq and is a predicted model, not a curated record. The transcript has 3 exons. Lineage: Eukaryota; Metazoa; Chordata; Actinopteri; Cypriniformes; Cyprinidae.
AAAUCCUGAAAGCUUGAAACACUGAAAGCAGACAGUUCAUCAUCAUCAUCAUCAUCAUCCUCUUCCUCAGAACUUUACCGUUCUGACUGGAGCCAGAUCAGGGUUUGAUCUACAGAUGAAGCGCUUUGGUGAACGAACUUCUGAAGCCUGAUUUAGUGGCCGAGCCGAGCCGAACCAGACGGUUAUGGAGGUGAAUGGGACAGACUCACUGAUGACUGUUUCUGCAGGAUCAAGCAGACAGGUUGGGAAGGACACAGAGAGCUGGCUCAUUUGAGUUUAACCAUGUUCAGAGAUGAUGGUGUUGAAAUCUACAAAUAGGAUCCUUGCAUAAGAGCUUUGCAUUAUCAGCAAGCAGCAAUAUGUGGAGUCCAAACAGAACAGAAAGAGGAGGAACGGCACAGCUCCCUGGAAAACUCUGCUCAAGUGCACGGAGG